UACGUAGGUGGCUAGCGUUGUCCGGAUUUACUGGGCGUAAAGAGCGCGCAGGCGGUCGUUCAAGUCGAGUGUGAAAGCCCCCGGCUCAACUGGGGAGGGUCACUCGAUACUGAUCGACUCGAAGGCAGGAGAGGGAAGCGGAAUUCCCGGUGUAGUGGUGAAAUGCGUAGAUAUCGGGAGGAACACCAGUGGCGAGGGCGGCUUUCUGGCCUGUUCUUGACGCUGAGGCGCGAAAGCUAGGGUAGCAAACGGG
RNAcentral lists this ribosomal RNA (253 nucleotides) under uncultured bacterium. RNAcentral describes it as "partial 16S ribosomal RNA". It matches the Rfam family "Bacterial small subunit ribosomal RNA", at positions 524 to 776 of the family's 1533-position model. The record is from RNAcentral.